Molecule: long non-coding RNA, 127 nt
Organism: Mytilus trossulus (common blue mussel)
Lineage: Eukaryota; Metazoa; Mollusca; Bivalvia; Mytilida; Mytilidae
Exons: 4
Source: RefSeq, a predicted model, not a curated record
AGUAGUGAAAACUAAGACAGUGUCCCCAAAAGUAACGAAAACUACGAAAAUUAUGCCUAAAGUUAAAAAAGUUAAGACAGUUGAGCCAAAAGUGACUAAAACUACGAAAAUAAUGCCAAAAAGUAAG